UAGGAAAUCUUCGGCAAUGGGGGGAACCCUGACCGAGCAACGCCGCGUGAGUGAAGAAGGUUUUCGGAUCGUAAAGCUCUGUUGUUAAGGAAGAACGAGUGUGAGAAUGGAAAGUUCAUGCUGUGACGGUACUUAACCAGAAAGGGACGGCUAACUACGUGCCAGCAGCCGCGGUAAUACGUAGGUCCCGAGCGUUGUCCGGAUUUAUUGGGCGUAAAGCGAGCGCAGGUGGUUUAGAAAGUCUGAUGUGAAAGCCCACGGCUCAACCGUGGAGGGUCAUUGGAAACUAAUAAACUUGAGUGCAGGAGAGAAAAGUGGAAUUCCUAGUGUAGCGGUGAAAUGCGUAGAGAUUAGGAGGAACACCGGUGGCGAAAGCGGCUUUUUGGCCUGCAACUGACACUGAGGCGCGAAAGCGUGGGGAGCAAACAGG
Molecule: ribosomal RNA, 430 nt
Filed under: Verrucomicrobiota bacterium
Lineage: Bacteria; Pseudomonadati; Verrucomicrobiota
Description: Verrucomicrobia bacterium partial 16S ribosomal RNA
Rfam family: Bacterial small subunit ribosomal RNA
Source: RNAcentral